This 360-nucleotide transfer-messenger RNA is filed under the name human gut metagenome. It matches the Rfam family "transfer-messenger RNA". From Rfam's summary of the family: Bacterial tmRNA, also known as 10Sa RNA or SsrA, is named for its dual tRNA and mRNA-like properties. Its role is to liberate the mRNA from a stalled ribosome. The record is from RNAcentral.
GGGGUCGUAUAUGGAUUCGACAGGAAUAAAAGAAAUUUAGCUGCAAGUCGUAUAUCUUACGUUACAGAUAAAUUAAAUAUAGCUGGAAACAACUAUAACAAUGCUACUGGAUACGCUUUUGCGUAAUUUAGUUUAAUCAGUAGGUUCUAUCCCAUCUUUGCCUAUGAGAUAGGAAUAGGACAUAUAAAAUAGGCUAUAUUAUAUAUUUUUUCUUGGAUAUAUAAUGAAUAUUAAAGAAUAGUAAAUAAUUAUUCUUGUUAGUUCUUCUAAUUAUUUAUGAAUAUUUAGAAUUAACUAAACUUGUAGAAGCUAAAUGGAGUUUAUUUUUGGACGGGAGUUCGACUCUCCCCGGCUCCACCA